RNAcentral lists this ribosomal RNA (117 nucleotides) under Danio rerio (zebrafish). Lineage: Eukaryota; Metazoa; Chordata; Actinopteri; Cypriniformes; Danionidae. The record is from RNAcentral.
UGCCACAGCCAUAUCACCCUGCAGCCCAAGACCGGUUACUCACUGAAGCUAAGCAGGGCUGAGCCUGGUAAGUACCUGGAUGGGAGACCACUAGGGAACACUAGGUUGCUGUUGGAA